CCUACGGGAGGCAGCAGUGAGGAAUAUUGGUCAAUGGACGCAAGUCUGAACCAGCCAUGCCGCGUGCAGGAAGACGGCUCUAUGAGUUGUAAACUGCUUUUGUACGAGGGUAAACGCAGAUACGCGUAUCUGUCUGCAAGUAUCGUACGAAUAAGGAUCGGCUAACUCCGUGCCAGCAGCCGCGGUAAUACGGAGGAUUCAAGCGUUAUCCGGAUUUAUUGGGUUUAAAGGGUGCGUAGGCGGUCGGAUAAGUUAGAGGUGAAAUCCCGAGGCUCAACUUCGGAAUUGCUUCUGAUACUGUUCGGCUAGAGAGUAGUAGCGGUAGGCGGAAUGUAUGGUGUAGCGGUGAAAUGCUUAGAGAUCAUACAGAACACCGAUUGCGAAGGCAGCUUACCAAGCUACUUCUGACGUUGAGGCACGAAAGCGUGGGGAGCAAACAGGAUUAGAUACCCCUGUAGUC
This 460-nucleotide ribosomal RNA is filed under the name uncultured bacterium. Its description in RNAcentral is "partial 16S ribosomal RNA". It matches the Rfam family "Bacterial small subunit ribosomal RNA", at positions 338 to 795 of the family's 1533-position model. The record is from RNAcentral.